AAAAAUUUAUGAAAGCUCAACAAGACAAUAAUUCAAAUCUCAUAGAUAUGGAAAACCACCAUCUGAGAUCUAAACAACACAACAACACAAUCGGGAAGCUUUUUCAGGACAAUAAAAUUACUCUUUCCUCAGAGCCCUCUCCCUUUCCACUCUAAUGUCUCUCCCUCUUCUUCUCUUACUGCAGUGAAUCUUUGCUGGCUCUUCUUCUUAUUUUUCUUUACUGAGCAAUUGUGCUUGCCCUUCAACGCCCUCUAGCAGGCCUUAAAGAGGGCCUUCAUCACACUGCAAGCUCUCAAUGGAUUAGGUUUUCCCGUGGUUCAUCUCUCCCUGGUGAAGCUCUUGUUGAUCUCUCAAGGGGAAGGAAAUGGUUGUCAAGACUGACAUUUGCCACUUAAUUGCAAGGGAGCAUAAGUUUCAAUCUCGGGCUUGCAAGGGAUAUGAGGGUGAGGUUCAUUACAGGUCUAGCUCUACUUUGGUUCUGGUUGUUUUCACCAGUUGUAAAAAGCCACAUACAGUGAAACCACCCAAUUCCACAUAGUCCAAGGCUCCCCACUCUCGUCAUCCUUUCGCAUAUUUUAUUUGUGUGGCACAUGCUCCUG
Long non-coding RNA from Dioscorea cayenensis subsp. rotundata (Guinea yam), 599 nucleotides. RefSeq lists it as uncharacterized. The record is from RefSeq and is a predicted model, not a curated record. The transcript is spliced from 4 exons. NCBI's taxonomy places the organism in Eukaryota, Viridiplantae, Streptophyta, Magnoliopsida, Dioscoreales, Dioscoreaceae.